AGUGAACGCUGGCGGCAGGCCUAAUACAUGCAAGUCGGACGGCAGCACAGCAGAGCUUGCUCUGUGGGUGGCGAGUGGCGGACGGGUGAGGAAUACAUGGGAAUCUGCCCAGUCGUGGGGGAUAACGUAUGGAAACGUACGCUAAUACCGCAUGCGCCCUUAGGGGGAAAGCCGGGGACCGAAAGGCCUGGCGCGAUUGGAUGAGCCCAUGUUCGAUUAGCUAGUUGGCGGGGUAAAGGCCCACCAAGGC
This 250-nucleotide ribosomal RNA is filed under the name uncultured bacterium. Its description in RNAcentral is "partial 16S ribosomal RNA". It matches the Rfam family "Bacterial small subunit ribosomal RNA", at positions 29 to 274 of the family's 1533-position model. The record is from RNAcentral.